GACGAACGCUGGCGGCGUGCUUAACACAUGCAAGUCGAACGAUGACGACCGAGCUUGCUCGGUCUGAUUAGUGGCGAACGGGUGAGUAACACGUGAGCAACCUGCCCUUCACUCUGUGAUAACCUCGGGAAAUCGGGGCUAAUACCGGAUAUGAGCUCCUGUCGCAUGGCGGGUGUUGGAAAGUUUUUCUGUGAAGGAUGGUCUGUCGGCCAACCACUUUGUUGUUGAGGUAGGGACUCCCCAAGGCGAUGACGGGUAGCCGGCCUGAGAGGGCGACCGGCCACCAUGGGACUGCGACAGGCACCAGAAUGGUAUGUGAGGCAGUAGUGGGGAGCCUUACAGAGUGAGGGAACGCGUGAUGUAGAGGAGCUGGGUUAGGGAUACCGGCUUUUGGGGUAUAAACAUAUUUCAGAAGGGCAGAACAGAACGUGACGGUACCUGCAGAGGAAGCGCCGGCUAACUACGUG
RNAcentral lists this ribosomal RNA (467 nucleotides) under uncultured bacterium. RNAcentral describes it as "partial 16S ribosomal RNA". It matches the Rfam family "Bacterial small subunit ribosomal RNA", at positions 28 to 507 of the family's 1533-position model. The record is from RNAcentral.